Molecule: ribosomal RNA, 646 nt
Filed under: uncultured fungus
Lineage: Eukaryota; Fungi
Description: eukaryotic LSU rRNA
Rfam family: 5.8S ribosomal RNA (bases 272-425)
Source: RNAcentral
UUGGUCAUUUAGAGGAAGUAAAAGUCGUAACAAGGUCUCCGUAGGUGAACCUGCGGAGGGAUCAUUAACGAGUUUUGAAAUGGGUUGUAGCUGGCCUCAAUGAAAGGCAUGUGCACGCCCUGCUCAUCCACUCUCAUACCCCUGUGCACUUACUGUAGGCUAGGUGGGAUGAACCCCGAUCGCAAGGUUAGGGUUUUGAAAGCCUUGUCUAUGUUUUACUACAAACGAUUCAGUUAUAGAAUGUUACAUUAGCGUUUAACGCUAUAAAUACAACUUUCAGCAACGGAUCUCUUGGCUCUCGCAUCGAUGAAGAACGCAGCGAAAUGCGAUAAGUAGUGUGAAUUGCAGAAUUCAGUGAAUCAUCGAAUCUUUGAACGCACAUUGCGCCCGCCAGUAUUCUGGCGGGCAUGCCUGUCUGAGCGUCAUUUCAACCCUCAUGCCCCUAGGGCGUGGUGUUGGGGAUCGGCCAGCGCCCGCGAGGGACGGCCGGCCCCUAAAUCUAGUGGCGGACCCGUCGCGGCCUCCCCUGCGAAGUAGCGAUAUUCCGCAUAGGAGAGCGACGAGCCCCUGCCGUUAAACCCCCAACUUUCUCAGGUUGACCUCAGAUCAGGUAGGAAUACCCGCUGAACUUAAGCAUAUCAAUAAG